AGUGAACGCUGGCGGUAGGCCUAACACAUGCAAGUCGAACGGCAGCACAGUAAGAGCUUGCUCUUACGGGUGGCGAGUGGCGGACGGGUGAGGAAUACAUCGGAAUCUACUUUUUCGUGGGGGAUAACGUAGGGAAACUUACGCUAAUACCGCAUACGACCUACGGGUGAAAGCAGGGGAUCUUCGGACCUUGCGCGAUUGAAUGAGCCGAUGUCGGAUUAGCUAGUUGGCGGGGUAAAGGCCCACCAAGGCGACGAUCCGUAGCUGGUCUGAGAGGAUGAGCAGCCACACUGGAACUGAGACACGGUCCAGACUCCUACGGGAGGCAGCAGUGGGGAAUAUUGGACAAUGGGCGCAAGCCUGGUCCAGCCAUACCGCGUGAGUGAAGAAGGCCUUCGGGUUGUAAAGCCCUUUUGUUGGGAAAGAAAAGCAGCAGGUUAAUACCCCGCUGUUCUGACGGUACCCAAAGAAUAAGCACCGGCUAACUUCGUG
This 492-nucleotide ribosomal RNA is filed under the name uncultured bacterium. Its description in RNAcentral is "partial 16S ribosomal RNA". It matches the Rfam family "Bacterial small subunit ribosomal RNA", at positions 29 to 507 of the family's 1533-position model. The record is from RNAcentral.